This is an RNA transcript of Mus musculus (house mouse), 2921 nucleotides long. It is a transcript of the gene named MAGE family member D1, with no coding region annotated. NCBI's taxonomy places the organism in Eukaryota, Metazoa, Chordata, Mammalia, Rodentia, Muridae. The transcript is spliced from 12 exons. The record is from RefSeq and is marked validated.
GAGCUGCCGCGCUGGCAUUUUCUCCUGGACGCGGAGAGAGUGCGGGUGCCGAGAGCCGGACAGAGCCAUUCCCGAUCCUCUUGAGUCGCGAAGAAGGAAACAGCGAAGGGAUUGGGGUUCGGCCCUGAGGCAAGGCUCUGCUCUUGCCAGGGAGACGAGAGCUAUGGCUCAGAAACCGGACGGCGGUGCAGGCCUCCGCGGCUUCCAGGCUGAGGCCUCUGUUGAAGACAGCGCCUUGCUUGUGCAGACCUUGAUGGAAGCCAUCCAGAUCUCCGAGGCUCCGCCCACCAGCCAGGCCACAGCAGCUGCCAGUGGGCCAAAUGCUAGUCCCCAGAGUUCACAGCCCCCAACUGCCAAUGAGAAGGCUGAUACUGAGGUUUCAGCAGCUGCUGCCAGGCCUAAGACAGGCUUUAAGGCCCAGAAUGCCACCACAAAGGGGCCAAAUGAUUACUCUCAGGCACGUAAUGCCAAGGAGAUGCCCAAGAAUCAGUCUAAGGCGGCCUUUAAGUCACAGAAUGGCACCCCUAAAGGUCCACAUGCUGCCUCUGACUUUUCCCAGGCAGCACCCACAGGCAAAUCAGCUAAAAAGUCUGAAAUGGCCUUUAAGGGUCAGAAUAGCACUAAGGCUGGCCCCGGUACCACCUACAAUUUCCCUCAGUCUCCCAGUGCCAAUGAGAUGACCAACAACCAGCCUAAGACAGCUAAGGCUUGGAAUGACACUACUAAGGUCCCUGGAGCUGAUGCCCAGACCCAGAAUGUAAAUCAGGCCAAAAUGGCUGACGUAGGGACCAGCGCAGGUAUCUCUGAAGCUGAUGGUGCAGCAGCCCAGACAUCAGCAGAUGGCUCCCAGACUCAGAACGUGGAGUCCCGGACUAUAAUUCGGGGCAAGAGGACCCGCAAGGUUAAUAACUUGAAUGUGGAAGAGAACAACAGUGGGGAUCAAAGGCGUGCCUCACUGGCCUCAGGGAACUGGAGGUCUGCUCCGGUUCCAGUGACCACUCAGCAGAACCCACCUGGAGCACCCCCUAAUGUGGUGUGGCAGACACCACUGGCUUGGCAGAACCCAUCAGGCUGGCAAAACCAGACAGCCAGGCAGACCCCACCAGCAGCACGUCAGAGUCCCCCAGCUAGGCAGACACCAUCAGCUUGGCAGAACCCAGUUGCAUGGCAGAAUCCAGUGAUCUGGCCUAACCCAGUGAUCUGGCAGAAUCCAGUGAUCUGGCCAAACCCCAUUGUCUGGCCUGGCCCAAUUGUCUGGCCAAACCCAAUGGCCUGGCAGAGUACACCUGGAUGGCAGAGCCCACCCAGCUGGCAGGCUCCACCUAGUUGGCAGAGCCCUCAAGAUUGGCAGGGCCCUCCAGAUUGGCAGGUACCACCUGACUGGUCAAUGCCUCCUGACUGGUCCUUUCCCUCCGACUGGCCUUUUCCACCUGACUGGAUCCCCGCCGACUGGCCAAUUCCACCUGACUGGCAGAACUUACGACCCUCACCUAAUCUGAGAUCCUCCUCCAACUCUCGUGCCUCACAGAACCAGGGUCCUCCACAGCCCCGAGAUGUGGCCCUUCUUCAGGAAAGAGCAAAUAAGUUGGUCAAGUACCUGAUGCUUAAAGACUACACGAAGGUGCCCAUCAAGCGCUCAGAAAUGCUGAGGGAUAUCAUCCGAGAAUACACUGAUGUCUAUCCAGAAAUCAUUGAGCGCGCAUGCUUUGUCCUGGAGAAGAAAUUUGGAAUCCAGCUGAAGGAAAUCGACAAAGAAGAGCAUCUGUAUAUUCUCAUCAGUACCCCUGAGUCCCUGGCUGGCAUACUGGGAACGUAAGAUGGGAAAGGAGAUGGAGUAUGGUCUUUCUAAGUGAUGCUUUUUUCCCCUAAGAGUCUCAGUAUUCAGUCACAUAGGAGGUCAUGGGCAGAGUGGGGGCAUAAUGAUCUCUGCUGAGGAAUACUGGAGAAGCUAAAUUGGUAAGCUUGUGGGGUUUUUCAUGCAGAUGGCUGCUGGGUAUGUAUAUAUCUAUAUUCUUUUUAUACUCCUCUAGGACCAAAGACACACCGAAGCUUGGCCUCCUCUUAGUGAUUCUGGGCAUUAUCUUCAUGAAUGGCAACCGUGCCACCGAGGCCGUCCUCUGGGAAGCACUGCGCAAGAUGGGACUACGUCCUGGGGUGAGACAUCCCCUCCUUGGUGACCUGAGAAAACUUCUUACUUACGAGUUUGUAAAGCAGAAAUACCUGGACUAUAGACGAGUGCCCAACAGCAACCCUCCUGAGUAUGAGUUCCUCUGGGGCCUCCGCUCCUACCAUGAGACUAGCAAGAUGAAAGUGCUGAGAUUCAUUGCAGAGGUUCAGAAGAGAGACCCUCGUGACUGGACUGCACAGUUCAUGGAAGCUGCAGAUGAAGCCUUGGAUGCUCUGGAUGCUGCUGCAGCUGAGGCAGAGGCCCGGGCUGAAGCGAGAAACCGCAUGGGAAUUGGAGAUGAGGCUGUGUCUGGUCCCUGGAGCUGGGAUGACAUUGAGUUUGAGCUGCUGACCUGGGAUGAGGAAGGAGAUUUUGGAGAUCCUUGGUCCAGGAUCCCCUUUACCUUCUGGGCCAGAUACCACCAGAAUGCCCGCUCCAGGUUUCCCCAGGCCUUUACUGGCCCCAUCAUUGGCCCCAGUGGUACUGCCACCGCCAACUUCGCCGCCAACUUCGGUGCCAUUGGCUUCUUCUGGGUUGAGUAAAUUGUCAGAUACUGCUCAUCAUUUGCAAUAGUUUUCCCUGAGUGAGGCUGAAGCCUCAGGUUCCUUCAAAACACGCUAUCUAGAGAGCCACAUCCUGUUGACUGAGAGUGGCAUGCAAAAUACAUUUAUUUGCUAUUCUGUCUUACUUUUUUUUUUCCUUGUGUGUUGUCAAGUUUUGGUAUCAGAAAUAAAUGUUGAAAUUGCAAAGUGAA